UUUUCCUUCCUUACAUAAGUGUCUCCGAAAUGGCCUCUAAUGUUUGUAUACAUGUUUUGAAACUGUGGUGAGCAUUAAUCAGCAAAAUGGGGAUGGUACAGCAAUCUCAUAAACAAUGAGUGUUAUUAAAUAAUCAUAUUUAUGCUUGGCUAGCAGGACUAUAUAUGUCUGCUUGCCUGAUGUGCUUAGGAAGUUAAUGUUUUUUUUAUGAUGACAUAGUUGCCAUAUGCUUCACAGUCACCAGCAGCAGAUAAGCUCAAGGGUUUAUUCAGAUAUCACUCAUUGAAAUGCAAGUAUUAGAAAUCUGGGCAUAAUUUUAGUUGGAAGCAAGUAAAAUAACUCAAUGGAGUUAUAACACAAUGCUAAGAAAAGCAUUCCCUUUGCUCUGAGCAAUCUGCUAGAGGUUAUUCCAUCUGCCACGAUGGGCUCUUUUGCCCAAUACCUGUCAGUUAUGUGUGAAGAUACAAUGCUGUUAUCGGUGUUACUCCCUAUAAAGCGCUAGCAGCACUCAAAAGCUUUUAACUAGGAAUUGGGAGUGACAGAAGUCAGAAGCACGACUGCAUACUUCUCAGACAAAUGAGAAAUUAGUCACACAAUAUGCAUCUUAGUCGAUGCAAAAGGCAAUAGAAAUAUGCCUGGCUUUAAGACUAUAAGGAGGCAGUUUUGUGAAGUAAUCUGAAUUCCCUCAUUUUCUCUUUCAUCUAGGGCUGUAAGUUAAUUCUACAACACAGCAGCAAAUCCUACUGCUGAGCAGGUAAGCUCAGUUCUUCCCAAACUUUUUAGGUGGCAGAAGCUCACAAGUGAUGCUGAUCUGACAUCCUGGAGACUUGCCCACAGCACUCCUCUGGCAGCAGCAUAAGCUUCUGGGGACUCUGCCACCAGCUUUUACAGCCUCCACCUGGACGGACUAACUGCAUGUAAAGUGUUUCCAGAGGGCAUAACAAUACUUGGAAGUAUAGAUCUGUAUGCUGUGGAAGAAGGAGCUGUCAGAUUUCAUCGAGAGAGAUGCAGACGACUGAUGUUUGCCAAGAAGAUGUCCAUCACUGCCUUUGACCUGAUGCAACCUAC
RNAcentral lists this long non-coding RNA (1068 nucleotides) under Anas zonorhyncha (Eastern spot-billed duck). RNAcentral describes it as "lncRNA (ENSAZOG00000012590.1)". Lineage: Eukaryota; Metazoa; Chordata; Aves; Anseriformes; Anatidae. The record is from RNAcentral.